RNAcentral lists this long non-coding RNA (1199 nucleotides) under Coturnix japonica (Japanese quail). Its description in RNAcentral is "lncRNA (ENSCJPG00005010180.1)". The record is from RNAcentral. Lineage: Eukaryota; Metazoa; Chordata; Aves; Galliformes; Phasianidae.
GCAGCGCUGGAAAAAGAGCCCUUGGAUGACCCACUUGGAGUCUGAGACAUCAGAAGUGCUACUUCAGAAAAGAAAGCAGAGGAAGGCACCAGAAGCCAUGCAGAAGAGACACAUCUGGACUGUGUAUGGCAGAUUGCAGCAGAGCCCAGGGAAGGCAAUUAAAGACCCAGAUGAAGACCAGAACAUCAGACGUCCGUCUGGAGUCCAUGUGCCUGAAUUGCUGUUCCUCCCCACCCUAAUAUAAACAGUGAGGUAAGGGCUUAUUUCUCAGCUGCCACUGAGCAGCAUUGGCUGACACCAGCACCGGGACCCCCAGAGCCCUGCCCAGAACCCAAGAGGGUCCCGGCCUCUCUGCCCUGCUCCCUGCAGGCAUAGGGGGCACAGCUCCAUCUCCCUGCCAGGCGGCGAUGUGCCCACGGGCCCCCAGCAGCGAGCAGCCUGGGUUUGAUGCUUGUGCUGCAGACCUGCCUCUGCAGAGGUGUUUGCAGCCAUUGGCACGGGCGCUGCAGAGCCGUUGCCUGGCAGCACACGCGUCCUCUUCCCCAUGACGAGCACUGAGUAUCGUCUCCAUCGACCCGACCACCUCCCAGGCUCCAGAUCCCUGCCCAGGAUGGAGAGCCAAAAGCAACCUGCACGCGGGAUGUGGAGACCCUUGUGCUAAACCUCACAGGUGAAUGCAUCCCAAAUGCCACUGUGCUCAGCAAUUCAGCAGAGAUUAGCGCUAGGAAAGCAAACCCUCUUAAAGGAACGCAUGCUAUUUAGUGUGCAUGAAUAUUUAGCUCUCUACAAAGCUACCAGAGGAAAAUUGGUUGUGAAGCUAAGCCUCAAGUCUGCCUUCCUGUGCUUGGCUCUGUGGUUCCCGAUGAGCACAUGCUGAUAUGUUCCAUGUGCCACAGGGAGGCAAAUCUCUGUGUCGGAGAGCACGGGGCUGCUCUGUGCCUCUGUGCCUCAUAAGCUGUGUGCAAUGUGCUUAUCUGCUCCCAGCUUGGCACUCGGCCUCCGAGGAUGCCACGAAUACAAUUUCUGUGCUGUAGUAACUCAGAUGCUGAACAUAACUAUUGCAGGAUCACAGGAUUGCGAAUGUUAGAGCUGUAAAAAUGGUGACCUUCAGAAACAUCCGUCUUUUUUAAAAGAAAGCAAGCCCUCAUGAGUCAGGCACACUGCCCCCAGCAGCAGCAGCUGUAUUUUGGGGUGGGGGG